GGGCAUGGAAGAGGAGCCGGGCAGACGGAAGGGCAGCCGGGAAGAUGUACUGGUGUUGGAAGAAGUCUAUGGCAGUGCUGGAAUGCAGAGUGGACCAUGAGGCUGUACUGGAACUGAACAUGCACUCUUCUGCAGCAAGAAGAGAAGGGCAUCACAUGGAGCCAGUGGAAGGCUGGGUCAGGACCUACAAAAGGAGGGUACGUCCGUGUUAUGACCACCUACUACUAUAAGGCAAGAUGAUCUGUGU
This is a long non-coding RNA of Rhea pennata, 247 nucleotides long. RefSeq lists it as uncharacterized. NCBI's taxonomy places the organism in Eukaryota, Metazoa, Chordata, Aves, Rheiformes, Rheidae. The record is from RefSeq and is a predicted model, not a curated record. The transcript is spliced from 3 exons.